AAGACCUUACGAGAUGCCUAGUAGCGCGAGUCAUCAACUCGCGUUGAUUACGUCCCUGCCCUUUGUACACACCGCCCGUCGCUCCUUCCGAUUGGGUGUGCUGGUGAAGAGUUCGGACUGAGCCAUGGCUCGCAAGAACCAAGGUCCGGGAAGUUCUUUGAACCCUCUCGCCUAGAGGAAGGAGAAGUCGUAACAAGGUUUCCGUAGGUGAACCUGCGGAAGGAUCAUUUAAUUCGAUCAUAACACGCCAAUCAUGGUAACCUAUAUGUGUUAUCCCCCGGCCCCGGGUCCGCCUGGGGAAUCGCGGGGGGUUGUUUUUACACAACCGCCAAAGCGUUUAAUACGAUAUACAAGUCGGGGAUCCCGUCGACCUGGUCGCGGGCCUCGCAACUAACCAAGAAAAACCCCUAACAACGGAUGUCUUGGCUCUCGCAACGAUGAAGAACGCAGCGAAAUGCGAUAUGUAGUGUGAAUUGCAGAAUUACGUGAAUCAUCGAAUUUUUGAACGCAUAUGGCACCCGAGACCUCGGUUGAGGGUAUGUCUGCCUCAGAGUCGGCGUAAAACAUCCCCUCAGGUUAGCUUCACCGCCAAACCUUGAGGGGGAGCUGGCCCUCCCACGGGAGGUGACCUCCGGGUCGCCUCAUCAAGUGGGUUGGCCGAAGGAUAGAGACGAGGGACCGGUGGGAUACUACCACUGGACAACCACGAUUUGGUGGGAGGAUCGGGAGCUCGCUCCCAUAUCCGCAUCAUCGUCGUGUGUCCUUGGGAGCCCCGCAGGUAGCAAGGCCCCCGCCGUACAGGAAAAUAUUUUAUCAUGUUUCGACCUGAGUUCAGGCAAGAUCACCCGCUGAACUUAAGCAUAUCAAAAACGGGGGAGAAAA
Molecule: ribosomal RNA, 882 nt
Filed under: Trentepohlia annulata
Lineage: Eukaryota; Viridiplantae; Chlorophyta; Ulvophyceae; Trentepohliales; Trentepohliaceae
Description: eukaryotic LSU rRNA
Rfam family: Eukaryotic small subunit ribosomal RNA (bases 1-230)
Source: RNAcentral